CACGGAGGGUGCAAGCGUUGCUCGGAAUCACUGGGCGUAAAGGGCGUGUAGGCGGUUUCGUAUGUCUGGCGUGAAAGCCCCGGGCUCAACCCGGGAAGUGCGUUGGAAACUGCGAAACUAGAGUCUCGGAGAGGAAGGUGGAAUUCCAGGUGUAGCGGUGAAAUGCGUAGAUAUCUGGAAGAACACCGGUGGCGAAGGCGGCCUUCUGGACGAUGACUGACGCUGAGACGCGAAAGCGUGGGGAGCAAACAGG
Molecule: ribosomal RNA, 253 nt
Filed under: uncultured bacterium
Lineage: Bacteria
Description: partial 16S ribosomal RNA
Rfam family: Bacterial small subunit ribosomal RNA
Source: RNAcentral